CCCACGUCUGUUGCAAAAGACGGGGAUGAGCUGUGAUUAGGAGUGAAAAGCUAAUCGAACCCGGAGAUAGCUGGUUCUCCUCGAAAGCUAUUUAGGUAGCGCCUCGGACGAAUACUACUGGGGGUAGAGCACUGUUAUGGCUAGGGGGUCAUCGCGACUUACCAAACCAUUGCAAACUCCGAAUACCAGUACGUACUAUCCGGGAGACACACGGCGGGUGCUAACGUCCGUCGUGAAAAGGGAAACAACCCAGACCCACAGCUAAGGUCCCAAAUUCACUGCUAAGUGGAAAACGAUGUGGAAAGGCAUAGACAGCCAGGAGGUUGGCUUAGAAGCAGCCACCCUUUAAAGAAAGCGUAAUAGCUCACUGGUCGAGUCGGUCUGCGCGGAAGAUUUAACGGGGCUAAGCAGUGAACCGAAGCUUGGGGUGCGUAAAACUUCGGUUUUAUGCGCGGUAGAGGAGCGUUCCGUAAGCCUGCGAAGGUGGAUUGAGAAGUCCGCUGGAGGUAUCGGAAGUGCGAAUGCUGACAUGAGUAACGAUAAUGCGGGUGAAAAGCCCGCACGCCGAAAGCCCAAGGUUUCCUUGCGCAACGUUAAUCGACGCAGGGUUAGUCGGUCCCUAAGGCGAGGGCGAAAGCCGUAGUCGAUGGGAAGCAGGUUAAUAUUCCUGCACCUCGCGUGAGUGCGAUGGAGGGACGGAGAAGGUUAGGUGUACCGGGCGUUGGUUGUCCCGGGGAAAGGCGGUAGGUUUGGAUCUUUGGCAAAUCCGGGAUCCUUUAAGACCGAGCACCGAGACGAGCCUUUAUGGCGAAGUCACUGAUACCACGCUUCCAGGAAAAGCUCCUAAGCUUCAGCUCACGAAGACCGUACCGUAAACCGACACAGGUGGGUAGGAUGAGAAUUCUCAGGCGCUUGAGAGAACUCGGGUGAAGGAACUAGGCAACAUGGCACCGUAACUUCGGGAGAAGGUGCACCCUUUUUGGUGGCUCAUGCGAGCUAUAGCUGAAGAGGGUCGCAGAAACCAGGCCGCUGCGACUGUUUAUCAAAAACACAGCACUCUGCAAACACGAAAGUGGACGUAUAGGGUGUGACGCCUGCCCGGUGCUGGAAGGUUAAUUGAUGGGGUCAGCCGCAAGGCGAAGCUCUUGAUCGAAGCCCCAGUAAACGGCGGCCGUAACUAUAACGGUCCUAAGGUAGCGAAAUUCCUUGUCGGGUAAGUUCCGACCUGCACGAAUGGCGUAACGACAGCGGCGCUGUCUCCACCCGAGACUCAGUGAAAUUGAAAUCGCUGUGAAGAUGCAGCGUCCCCGUGGCAAGACGGAAAGACCCCGUGAACCUUUACUAUAGCUUUACACUGAACGUUGAGUUCGUCUGUGUAGGAUAGGUGGGAGGCUAUGAAACUGUGGCGCUAGCUGCAGUGGAGCCAUCCUUGAAAUACCACCCUGUCGUGCUUGACGUUCUAACCUAGAUCCGUUAUCCGGAUCAGGGACCGUGUAUGGUGGGUAGUUUGACUGGGGCGGUCUCCUCCUAAAGAGUAACGGAGGAGCACGAAGGUACGCUCAGCGCGGUCGGACAUCGCGCACUGUGUGCAAAGGCAUAAGCGUGCUUGACUGCAAGAUCGACGGAUCAAGCAGGUACGAAAGUAGGUCUUAGUGAUCCGGUGGUUCUGUAUGGAAGGGCCAUCGCUCAACGGAUAAAAGGUACUCCGGGGAUAACAGGCUGAUACCGCCCAAGAGUUCAUAUCGACGGCGGUGUUUGGCACCUCGAUGUCGGCUCAUCACAUCCUGGGGCUGUAGUCGGUCCCAAGGGUAUGGCUGUUCGCCAUUUAAAGUGGUACGCGAGCUGGGUUCAGAACGUCGUGAGACAGUUCGGUCCCUAUCUGCCAUGGGCGUUGGAAGUUUGAGAGGGGCUGCUCCUAGUACGAGAGGACCGGAGUGGACGAACCUCUGGUGUUCCGGUUGUCACGCCAGUGGCAUUGCCGGGUAGCUAUGUUCGGAAGCGAUAACCGCUGAAAGCAUCUAAGCGGGAAGCGCGCCUCAAGAUGAGACUUCCCGGGGCACAAGCCCCCUAAAGGAACCAUAUAGACUAUGUGGUUGAUAGGUCAGGUGUGUAAGUACAGCAAUGUAUUGAGCUAACUGAUACUAAUGAUCCGUGCGGCUUGACCAU
Molecule: ribosomal RNA, 2166 nt
Filed under: Xanthomonas hortorum ATCC 19865
Lineage: Bacteria; Pseudomonadati; Pseudomonadota; Gammaproteobacteria; Lysobacterales; Lysobacteraceae
Description: bacterial LSU rRNA
Rfam family: Bacterial large subunit ribosomal RNA
Source: RNAcentral